Long non-coding RNA from Larimichthys crocea (large yellow croaker), 1123 nucleotides. RefSeq lists it as uncharacterized. The record is from RefSeq and is a predicted model, not a curated record. The transcript has 3 exons. Lineage: Eukaryota; Metazoa; Chordata; Actinopteri; Sciaenidae.
UUGAAACUAAAUUUUAGAGUCGUGUUUGGGUUCUGAGAUCAGUCUUGUCACAUUCCUCUCUUUCAGAAUUCACAAUCAUCAAGUGUGGCUUCAGUUGUCAGACUUCAACAUAUUUCCAUUGCUGCUAUUGUGCAGAAACAAUUAUCAAUAGAUCACAGUUUUUAAGACACUUAGAAAAACCCCAGGAGGAGAAGCAUAACGAACAAACAAAGGCCCCCACUCAGCACUUUGCAGCCCCUGUAUAGAACCCACGGGCCUCCACUCAGCACCCAGCAGAAAGAAAACUCCAGUUGAGAGGUCAUGUGAUGAGUUAUUAUGUAGUCAAACUAUUACUUGAAGACAAAAGCCUAACCUCUCCACUUAUUUCAGGAUGUGGAAGAGGUCCCACUGAAAAGGUUCAGCCAUUCAGAAUCUGUCUCUGAAGCAUCAGUGGAGGCUGAUAACGUGCCAGGACUGGGAACAGGGAGGGAGGAGGAUGCACUGCUUCGGGACACCAUAGAGGCAGCAAAGUGGUGUACCAGACAAACAUUAAAGGGGAAACUUUCCCUUCCCCAAGUCAUCUCAAUGGACCAGAAAGGUCACUUGAGGGCGGUGGAACGCCUCAGAAUGUCCGAAGGCCUUGAAGGGGUCCGGGAGCCAUUUAUCUUCCUGUUCAGUCUGCAGGAAGACCAUGAGGCAUUCUGCAGUAAAAUUAUGGACACCACUACUGUCUAUGUCUUUUGUUUCCUGUUUUGCUCCUGUUUUAUUUUGAAGUUCAGUGUUAGUGUUCAGUGUUCAGUGUGUUCAACUAAGACAGGAAUAAAAUAUAUGCACUAAAUGUAACACCUGAACAUAUCCCAGUGUAUAUAUUUUUCUUUUUUUUUAAUUAUAAAAAUAAAUAAUAUUAUUUAAUAUUUAAAUAAUAUAUAUAUAUUAAAUAAUAUUAUAUAUAAUAUAAUGGGAGGCGUGGUUCGAUGUGGGCGUGGCUCAACGUUGAGGCACGUCACGAUCUGCGGGCUGCAGUCAGGGGUUCUUGGGGGUGUGGCACUGGUGAGGUCAUGACUUAUGACAUCAUCUGUGACAUCCGAAAAGUCUAUAAAUAGGAACCAGUUCGCUGAUAUUUGCCAGCCAGCGAAUUUUUGCU